Saccostrea cuccullata (small rock oyster) is the source of this 433-nucleotide long non-coding RNA. RefSeq lists it as uncharacterized. The record is from RefSeq and is a predicted model, not a curated record. Lineage: Eukaryota; Metazoa; Mollusca; Bivalvia; Ostreida; Ostreidae. The transcript has 3 exons.
CUUCAUGAGAAUCAAAAUAGAAGUGAGACUGAAGCCGAACAUGAACAUAAUUUUGGUGAAACUACUCCUUGUCCAGUGUCCGCUGCAGCACCACGUGGGUACACCGGCAUCGAUCUAUGCCUGAUGUUGUUUUCUGUAUAGGCAUUUUAAAUACCAUGACUCUACAGAUGUUAAUUGGUAUGACGGAAGAAGUAAAACUUUCGCAGAACAGAUUUUUUGUAUGCUGUGUCCACGUCAGAUGCAUAAGGAAAGGUCAAGCCAGAUCUGCUACUGCAAACUGAACAUAAAGUGGCAUAUUUGUGUGUCAGGAAACAAGGAACAUGUAUUGCUGGACUGAGAAUCUAACCGGGGAUCCCUGCAUCACCACUCAGAUAAAAAGAACUACCAGAAGGAGACAGUAAAGAGGAACGGACAAAUCACACCAUAAGACAUG